CAGCCGCCGCGGUAAUACGAAGGGUGCAAGCGUUACUCGGAAUUACUGGGCGUAAAGCGUGCGUAGGUGGUGGUUUAAGUCCGUUGUGAAAGCCCUGGGCUCAACCUGGGAAUUGCAGUGGAUACUGGGUCACUAGAGUGUGGUAGAGGAUAGUGGAAUUUCCGGUGUAGCAGUGAAAUGCGUAGAGAUCGGAAGGAACAUCUGUGGCGAAGGCGACUAUCUGGGCCAACACUGACACUGAGGCACGAAAGCGUGGGGAGCGAACAGGAUUAGAUACCCGUGUAGUCCCUGUCUCUUAUAA
RNAcentral lists this ribosomal RNA (301 nucleotides) under uncultured bacterium. RNAcentral's name for it is "partial 16S ribosomal RNA". It matches the Rfam family "Bacterial small subunit ribosomal RNA", at positions 509 to 809 of the family's 1533-position model. The record is from RNAcentral.